Molecule: unclassified non-coding RNA, 400 nt
Filed under: uncultured fungus
Lineage: Eukaryota; Fungi
Description: sequence contains ITS1
Rfam family: 5.8S ribosomal RNA (bases 1-99)
Source: RNAcentral
GAAAUGCGAUACGUCAUGCGAAUUGCAGAAACUUGUGAGUCAUCAAAACUUUGAACGCAACUUGCACUUCCGUAAGGGAGUAUGUCUGUUGGAGUGUCUGUUCAUCCCCACUUCCGCCCCUUCAUCCGGGCGGGCAGUGCCGGCCGCUUGUCGCACGCAGCAAUGUUGCGACGGACAAUCGAGUCUAGAUGAAACACCAAUCAACCGAACUCGCCCCUGCUCUUUGCUCAACAGAGACGCUCGGAACGACGCGACGUGGUUUUUGCAAAAGAGCGUUAAAAACUCUUUUCUGAUCCUCAACGCGUCUGCUCCUACAGCAUUCCUCCGGCGGGUACACCAAAAGAGAGCCCCGGCAUACCAUGAGUUCAUCCGAUCGGACCUCCAAUCAGGCAAGAAUACC